RNAcentral lists this ribosomal RNA (253 nucleotides) under uncultured bacterium. Its description in RNAcentral is "partial 16S ribosomal RNA". It matches the Rfam family "Bacterial small subunit ribosomal RNA", at positions 524 to 776 of the family's 1533-position model. The record is from RNAcentral.
GACAGAGGCCUCGAGCGUUAGGCGGAAUCACUGGGCUUAAAGUGUGUGUAGGCGGGCCCGUAAGUGUCUUGUGAAAUCCCACGGCUCAACCGUGGAACUGCUGGGCAUACUGCGGGUCUUGGGCCAACUAGGGGCAGCCGGAACAAGCGGUGGAGCGGUGAAAUGCGUAGAUAUCGCUUGGAACGCCGAAGGUGAAAACAGGCUGCUGGGGUUGCGCCGACGCUGAGACACGAAAGCCAGGGGAGCAAACGGG